UUACGCUAAUACCGCAUACGAUCUAAGGAUGAAAGCGGGGGAUCGCAAGACCUCGCGCGAUUGGAGCGGCCGAUAUCAGAUUAGGUAGUUGGUGAGGUAAAGGCUCACCAAGCCAACGAUCUGUAGCUGGUCUGAGAGGACGACCAGCCACACUGGAACUGAGACACGGUCCAGACUCCUACGGGAGGCAGCAGUGGGGAAUUUUGGACAAUGGACGCAAGUCUGAUCCAGCCAUUCCGCGUGCAGGAUGAAGGCCCUCGGGUUGUAAACUGCUUUUGUACGGAACGAAAAGGUUUCUAUUAAUACUAGGAGCUCAUGACGGUACCGUAAGAAUAAGCACCGGCUAACUACGUGCCAGCAGCCGCGGUAAUACGUAGGGUGCAAGCGUUAAUCGGAAUUACUGGGCGUAAAGCGUGCGCAGGCGGUUAUAUAAGACAGAUGUGAAAUCCCCGGGCUCAACCUGGGAACUGCAUUUGUGACUGUAUAGCUAGAGUACGGUAGAGGGGGAUGGAAUUCCGCGUGUAGCAGUGAAAUGCGUAGAUAUGCGGAGGAACACCGAUGGCGAAGGCAAUCCCCUGGACCUGUACUGACGCUCAUGCACGAAAGCGUGGGGAGCAAAACAGGAUUAGAUACCCUGGUAGUCCCACGCCCUAAACGAUGUCAACUGGUUGUUGGGUCUUCACUGACUCAGUAACGAA
RNAcentral lists this ribosomal RNA (698 nucleotides) under uncultured beta proteobacterium. RNAcentral describes it as "bacterial SSU rRNA". It matches the Rfam family "Bacterial small subunit ribosomal RNA", at positions 158 to 850 of the family's 1533-position model. The record is from RNAcentral. Lineage: Bacteria; Pseudomonadati; Pseudomonadota; Betaproteobacteria.